AGUCAUCACAUGACCCAUCCACAUUGGGAAGCCAGAAUUACUUGCAGGAGUAACCUAGUGCCUAUAGCUAUGGCAGGUACCUGCAUCCUUGUUUUUGUUUAGUGGAUCCUCUAUCCUUCAGAGACUCUGGAACCCCUGUGCUCUUCUCCUCAUCUAGUGACCCUGAGGUGAUGGAGUUUUCAAGUCCUUCCAGAGAGGUGCCUUCAGCCGCUACAAGAGCAGAAGCAGUGGGCAUUGGAUGGAGCUGAGUACAGGACCAUACAGGCUAAUUGCACCGGCACAGGAAUCGGAUAUAACAUCAUCUGGGUACCCAUGGCCAGCUGUGACUUCUCCAUCCGCACCUACACCUAUGCAGACACCCCUGAUGAUUUCCAGUUGCACAACUUCAGCCUCCCAGAGGAAGAUACCAAGCUCAAGGUUCCUGGAUGCCUAUGCUGAGCACAAGUUACAGUUCUGGGCAGUGACAGCUGAAAAUGAGCCUUCUGCUGGGCUGUUGAGUGGAUACCCCUUCCAGUGCCUGGGCUUCACCCCUGAACAUCAGCGAGACUUCAUUGCCCGUGACCUAGGUCCUACCCUUGCCAACGGUACUCACCACAAUGUCCGCCUACUCAUGCUGGAUGACCAACGCUUGCUGCUGCCCCACUGGGCAAAGGUGGUACUGACAGACCCAGAAGCAGCUAAGUAUGUUCAUGGUAUUGCUGUACAUUGGUACCUGGACUUUCUGGCUCCAGCCAAAGCCACCCUAAGGGAGACACACCACCUGUUCCCCAACACCAUGCUCUUUGCCUCAGAGGCCUGUGUGGGUUCCAAGUUCUGGGAGCAGAGUGUGCGGCUAGGCUCCUGGGAUCGAGGGAUGCAGUACAGCCACAGCAUCAUCACAAACCUCCUGUACCAUGUGGUCGGCUGGACCGACUGGAACCCAUCAUUGUAGACAUCACCAAGCACACGUUUUACAAACAGCCCAUGUUCUACCACCUUGGCCACUUCAGCAAGUUCAUUCCUGAGGGCUCCCAGAGAGUGGGGCUGGUUGCCAGUCAGAAGAACGACCCGGACGCAGUGGCACUGAUGCAUCCCGAUGGCUCUGCUGUUGUGGUCGUGCUAAACCGCUCCUCUAAGGAUGUGCCUCUUACCAUCAAGGAUCCUGCUGUGGGCUUCCUGGAGACAAUCUCACCUGGCUACUCCAUUCACACCUACCUGUGGCGUCGCCAGUGAUGGAGCAGAUACUCAAGGAGGCACUGGGCUCAGCCUGGGCAUUAAAGGGACAGAGUCAGCUCACACGCUGUCUGUGACUAAAGAGGGCACAGCAGGGCCAGUGUGAGCUUACAGCGACGUAAGCCCAGGGGCAAUGGUUUGGGUGACUCACUUUCCCCUCUAGGUGGUGCCAGGGGCUGGAGGCCCCUAGAAAAAGAUCAGUAAGCCCCAGUGUCCCCCCAGCCCCCAUGCUUAUGUGAACAUGCGCUGUGUGCUGCUUGCUUUGGAAACUGGGCCUGGGUCCAGGCCUAGGGUGAGCUCACUGUCCGUACAAACACAAGAUCAGGGCUGAGGGUAAGGAAAAGAAGAGACUAGGAAAGCUGGGCCCAAAACUGGAGACUGUUUGUCUUUCCUGGAGAUGCAGAACUGGGCCCGUGGAGCAGCAGUGUCAGCAUCAGGGCGGAAGCCUUAAAGCAGCAGCGGGUGUGCCCAGGCACCCAGAUGAUUCCUAUGGCACCAGCCAGGAAAAAUGGCAGCUCUUAAAGGAGAAAAUGUUUGAGCCCA
Molecule: long non-coding RNA, 1755 nt
Organism: Homo sapiens (human)
Lineage: Eukaryota; Metazoa; Chordata; Mammalia; Primates; Hominidae
Gene: GBA1LP
Product: glucosylceramidase beta 1 like, pseudogene
Source: Ensembl